RNAcentral lists this ribosomal RNA (941 nucleotides) under Tetragnatha squamata. RNAcentral describes it as "bacterial SSU rRNA". It matches the Rfam family "Eukaryotic small subunit ribosomal RNA", at positions 33 to 967 of the family's 1831-position model. Lineage: Eukaryota; Metazoa; Arthropoda; Arachnida; Araneae; Tetragnathidae. The record is from RNAcentral.
CCNUUNCGAGAUAGCCAGCAUGUCUAGUUCAUGCCGUAUUAAGGCGAAACCGCGAAUGGCUCAUUAAAUCAGUUAUGGUUCCUUGGAUCGUACUUUACUACUUGGAUAACUGUGGCAAUUCUAGAGCUAAUACAUGCAGCAGAGCUCCGACCUUUUGCGAGGGACGAGCGCUUUUAUUAGACCAAAACCGAUCUGGUCCUCGUGGCCAGUAUCCGUGGUGACUCUGUAUAACUUUGGGCUGAUCGCACGGGCUCGUCCCGGCGACGUAUCUUUCAAGUGUCUGCCUUAUCAACUGUCGACGGUAGGUUACGCGCCUACCGUGGUCGUAACGGGUAACGGGGGAUCAGGGUUCGAUUCCGGAGAGGGAGCCUGAGAAACGGCUACCACAUCCAAGGAAGGCAGCAGGCGCGCAAAUUACCCACUCCCGGCACGGGGAGGUAGUGACGAAAAAUAACAAUACGGGACUCUUUUGAGACCCCGUAAUUGGAAUGAGUACACUCCAAACCCUUUAACGAUGAACUAUUGGAGGUAAAGUCUGGUGCCAGCAUCCGCGGUAACUCCAGCUCCAAUAGCGUAUAUUAAAGUUGUUGCGGUUAAAAAGCUCGUAGUUGGAUCUUGGGUUGUUACCUUUCGGUCCGGUUCACUCCGGUAACUGAACGGUAGCGAUCAUUACGGCAGGCCAGCGUCCAUGAUCUUGACCGGUUGUGGACGUCGGCCGGCACGUUUACUUUGAAAAAAUUAGAGUGCUCAAAGCAGGCGCGACGCCUGGAUAAUGGUGCAUGGAAUAAUGGAAUAGGACCUCGGUUCUAUUUUGUUGGUUUUCGGAACACGAGGUAAUGAUUAAGAGGGACAGACGGGGGCAUUCGUAUUGCGACGCUAGAGGUGAAAUUCUUGGACCGCCGCACGACGAACUACUGCGAGANUUUUUUUUCCANAAANAA